AAAGUAUCGAUGUGUAAUAUAGAAACUAACAUCAAACAUAUUUAAAAAAAAGUAUUUCAAAGGGGUUAUUAAGGAUAAUUAGCAAAUUUAUAAAUAAGGAGGCAUUGGCCUAAUGCCACUUUAAUUAAAUAAGUGGCAAUCCUAAGGGAAACCUUUUUAUAUAAUACUUCCUGAAGUAAAUCAUUUUAGUAAGGAAAGGAAAGGAAAUCAACCGAGACUCCGAAAGUAAUGGUGAGUGAAAUCGGAUUAGCCUGUGAUUAAAAUAUAAAGGUGAAAACAAACAAUUACCAUAAAUCUAGUUUAAAGAAGUAUUGUAAGUGUACCAAAGAAGGUAAAAACCAAAGUCCUGUAGCAUUUAUAAAAAUCACUACCUUAACCUAUUUUGUAUAGUGUUAGGGAAUAUUUUAAUUAAUAAAUAUAAACAAUAAAGGUUAAAUUAACUUUUGUUUAUAUUAUAUAGUUAAUAAGUUAAAUUUUUAUUUAAUUUAUUUAAAUAGGUUAAAAAUAAUAAUCAGUUUUUAUUAAAAUACGAUGAGAGAUAACUUGUUGGAAUAUAGGGGUACCAUCCUCUAAGGCUAAGUAUUAUAAAUUUAGCGAUAGUGAACAGUACUGUAAAGGAACAUGUGAAAAAGUAAAAUAAAAAAUUAUUGAAAUAGAUAUUGAAUUAGUAACUCUAUAAGCAGCCGAAAUUAAAAAAAAUAAUGACGGCGUACCUUUUGCAUAAUGGGUCAGCAAGUUAAUAGAAAUAGCAAGGUUAAAAGCCUUAGCGAAAGCGACUAAACUAAAUUAGGAAAAUAAAAUAAAUAUUUUAUAAUUUAUUUUUAAUUAAUUUUAAUUAAAAAAGAGUGACACCUUAUGUUAAAUUUUACAAUAAUUUGUUAAAAUUAUUAAUAUAAGUUGUUAUUUGCUAAACUAUAGUGUUGGGUAAGUUAUUUCUAUUAGACCCGAAGCUAGAUGAUCUUUCCAGGACCAGAUUAUUAAGGAUCGAACGGGUGAAUGUUGCAAUAUUCUCCGAUGAGUUCUGGAAAGCGGUGAAAGGCCAAUCUAAUCUAGUUAUAGCUGGUAUUCUUCGAAACAUAUGUAAGUAUGACAUUCAAUUAAAUUUAUGGAGGUACAGCACGGAAAUUCCAAACAAGUAAUAUAAACAUUAUGCGUUUAGGUUGUGGGGAUCUAAUAAAUCUUACCAAUGGAAUUUAAACUCGGAAGUACAUAAAUUAAUGUUGGAUAUUCAGACUGCUCAUGAUAAGUUGAGCAGUCAAGACGAAAACAGUCGAGAACACGCAUUAAGGUCCCAAAUGAUUAUUAAGUGAAAUUAAGGAUGUUACAUUUUGUAUGCAGCUGUAAAGUGAGCCUGGUAGUCGCUACUUAUAAUGACCGUUGUAACAACGCAUCAGCUCUUAGAUUGUAGCACUGAAAAUUUAACGGGUCUAAAUAAUCAACCGAUAUCGUGUUAAUUAAUAAAAUAUUUAAUAUUUUUAUUUUAUUAAUCUAGGUAGAAGAACAUUCAGAAACGAAAGAUACACAGUGUUUCAUUGUGAUUGACGAACUGAAGAGAGAAUGCUGACAUGAGUAACGUAAAAAGAAGUUUUAAUACUUCUCGCCGAAUACGAAAGGGUUGUAAGUAAAGUUUAAACUAACUUAUGUUAAAUGCGGGUCUCUAAGGUUAAAAACCAAAGUUUUUGCUGAUGAGGUAGUGAUAGAAUUGUCUUAAUGGAAGAUUAGACCAAGAAAACAAAUCACUUCUAAAAAUUAUUAAUAUAUAUUUAAUAUAUUUAAAUUAUAUUUAAAAAGGUUUUAUUUUUCAAUAAAUAGAUUGUAAAUAUUUUUAAGUUUAAAUUUUAAUGUUAAUUGUAAUAUUUUGGCAAAAAAAAUAACAAAUUUAAUUUAACAAAAAAAAAAAAGAACUACCGUACCCUAAACCGACACAGGUUCGUAGGUAGAGAAUACUAAGGCGUAGAGCUAAAAGUUGUAAAGGAACUCGGCAAGAUGUCCUCGUAAGUUUGACGAUAAGAGGGACCAAAAUUAAUAAUUAGCGGAUAAAGCCUUCUUAUAAAAUUAAUUCAAAAAUUUUUUAAAAAAUAUAUAAAGGUUAUACCGUUUUAUUAUUUUAACUUAAUUUUUUUAUUUUAUUAUUUAAUUUUACAUAUUAAGUUACAUAGAUACAAAAAUUAUUCUUUUUUUUAGUUUGCUUUAAAAAUAAAAAAUAAAAGUAAGAGUUAAAGUAGUAAAGUCAGCCAUGAUAAAUUGUUAAAAUUUGGUGGCACAAAAUCGGAGGCCUCGACUGUUUACUAAAAACACAAGAAUGUGCAAUGAUAAAAAUCAUAGUAUACGUUCUGAAAUUUGCUCGAUGCCAUUAAUAUAAAAAAGGUAAUAGGUAACUGUUACUAAUUGAAGUUCUGGUUAAUAGCGGUCUUAACUAUGAGGAUCCUAAGGUAGCGAAAUCAAUUGGCCAUUAAAUGUGGUCCGGUAUCAAUAAUAUAACGAAGGUCUCACUGUCUCUACAACUUGCUCAGUGAAAUUGAAUUGCCAGUGCAGAUGCUGGCUUCUCUCAGUGGGACGGGAAGACCCUAUGCAGCUUUACUGUAGUUAGCUAAUAUGCUGAUCUAGAACAACUUUAAACAAUAGUGAUUAGGUAUGUCGAUAGACAAAAUAACCCGUAAGGGGAGUGGAAACCUUCAGAUUAAGGUUGGGUUAGUGUUUACCUAAUUAAAUUAAAUUUAAAAAUUAGGGAUAAUUGGCUAAUUGGCAGUUUGACUGGGGCGGUCGUCUUUAAUAAAGUAGCAAAGUACACCCACAGAUUUAAUUUUAAUCAUUUUUACAAUAUUAUUAUUUUUAUAGUAAUAUUGCACACUAAAAAGAUAAUUAGAUGGUAUAGAUUUGUUAAUCUUUAAUCUUAAUUUAAGAACAUAAAGGUUAUUUAAAUCUAUAUAAAAUUUUCUAAAUUAAAAAUUUUUACUUUAAACCAUCGAACAUAUAUUUAUGUAUAAAAAUUUUUUAAAGGUAUAGCUAGAAAUUGAAUGGAGAUCAAUCAACUAAUGUAAAGGUUGUGUAGAGUGUAAUGGCGGUAAGCAUACCUAACUGAAAGACUUAAAAGUCAAACAGAUACGUAAGUAGGGCAUAGUGACCCCUCGCUAUAAUAUGGAAUAGACGGGGAUCAUUUGAUAAAAGUUACGCUAGGGAUAACAGGCUGAUAGCCGGCGAGAGUACACAUUGUCCCGGCUGUUUGGCACCUCGAUGUCGAUUCAUCCUAUCCUCCGGGGGAAGAAGCUUGGAAGGGUUGGGCUGUUCGCCCAUUAAAAGGGUACGUGAAUUGGGUUUAAUACGACGUGAGUCAGUAUGGUCCCUAUCUUCUGAGAGAAUAAUUAGUAAAAAGGGGAAGACCUUCUAGUACGAAAGGACCAAUAGGCUGUGUUUCUAUAGUGUACCAAUUGUUGAAAUUAAAUUAAAUAUAAAACCAAAACAAAAACAUUUUAAUUAUUUUUGGUUAAUGCUACCUUAAAUGGAGUGUUUUAGUUUAAUUUUUUGUUUUUUUAUUAAACUAUUAUAUUUUUUUUGGUGUGGUAUUUAUUUAUAUAAACAUUGUAUAAUUAAUUACCUUAAAAAAUAUAAUUUUUUUUUUACUUUUUUAUAGUAGUAAAAUUAUAUAUAUAAUUUGGCACAGUUGGGUAGCCACAAACAUGGUA
RNAcentral lists this ribosomal RNA (3683 nucleotides) under Fomitiporia mediterranea. RNAcentral's name for it is "large subunit ribosomal RNA". It matches the Rfam family "Bacterial large subunit ribosomal RNA". The record is from RNAcentral. Lineage: Eukaryota; Fungi; Basidiomycota; Agaricomycetes; Hymenochaetales; Hymenochaetaceae.